This 486-nucleotide ribosomal RNA is filed under the name Candidatus Phytoplasma prunorum. Its description in RNAcentral is "bacterial SSU rRNA". It matches the Rfam family "Bacterial small subunit ribosomal RNA", at positions 745 to 1243 of the family's 1533-position model. The record is from RNAcentral. Lineage: Bacteria; Bacillati; Mycoplasmatota; Mollicutes; Acholeplasmatales; Acholeplasmataceae.
GCUGAGGCACGAAAGCGUGGGGAGCAAACAGGAUUAGAUACCCUGGUAGUCCACGCCGUAAACGAUGAGUACUAAGUGUUGGGUUAAACCAGUGCUGAAGUUAACACAUUAAGUACUCCGCCUGAGUAGUACGUACGCAAGUAUGAAACUUAAAGGAAUUGACGGGACUCCGCACAAGCGGUGGAUCAUGUUGUUUAAUUCGAAGAUACACGAAAAACCUUACCAGGUCUUGACAUACUCUGCAAAGCUAUAGAAAUAUAGUGGAGGUUAUCAGGGAUACAGGUGGUGCAUGGUUGUCGUCAGCUCGUGUCGUGAGAUGUUGGGUUAAGUCCCGCAACGAGCGCAACCCUUAUCACUAGUUACCAUCAUUUAGUUGGGCACUUUAGUGAGACUGCCAAUGAUAAAUUGGAGGAAGGUGGGGAUUACGUCAAAUCAUCAUGCCCCUUAUGACCUGGGCUACAAACGUGAUACAAUGGCUGUUACAAA